This 901-nucleotide ribosomal RNA is filed under the name uncultured bacterium. RNAcentral's name for it is "bacterial SSU rRNA". It matches the Rfam family "Bacterial small subunit ribosomal RNA", at positions 51 to 951 of the family's 1533-position model. The record is from RNAcentral.
ACACAUGCAGUCGAACGAAGCACUUUAUUUGAUUUCCUUCGGGACUGAUUAUUUUGUGACUGAGUGGCGGACGGGUGAGUAACGCGUGGGUAACCUGCCUUGUACAGGGGGAUAACAGUUGGAAACGGCUGCUAAUACCGCAUAAGCGCACAGCAUCGCAUGAUGCAGUGUGAAAAACUCCGGUGGUAUAAGAUGGACCCGCGUUGGAUUAGCUAGUUGGUGAGGUAACGGCCCACCAAGGCGACGAUCCAUAGCCGACCUGAGAGGGUGACCGGCCACAUUGGGACUGAGACACGGCCCAAACUCCUACGGGAGGCAGCAGUGGGGAAUAUUGCACAAUGGGCGAAAGCCUGAUGCAGCGACGCCGCGUGAGCGAAGAAGUAUUUCGGUAUGUAAAGCUCUAUCAGCAGGGAAGAUAAUGACGGUACCUGACUAAGAAGCACCGGCUAAAUACGUGCCAGCAGCCGCGGUAAUACGUAUGGUGCAAGCGUUAUCCGGAUUUACUGGGUGUAAAGGGAGCGCAGGCGGUGCGGCAAGUCUGAUGUGAAAGCCCGGGGCUCAACCCCGGUACUGCAUUGGAAACUGUCGUACUAGAGUGUCGGAGGGGUAAGCGGAAUUCCUAGUGUAGCGGUGAAAUGCGUAGAUAUUAGGAGGAACACCAGUGGCGAAGGCGGCUUACUGGACGAUAACUGACGCUGAGGCUCGAAAGCGUGGGGAGCAAACAGGAUUAGAUACCCUGGUAGUCCACGCCGUAGACGAUGAAUACUAGGUGUUGGGAAGCAUUGCUUCUCGGUGCCGUCGCAGACGCAGUAAGUAUUCCACCUGGGGAGUACGUUCGCAAGAAUGAAACUCAGAGGAAUUGACGGGGACCCGCACAAGCGGUGGAGCAUGUGGUUUAAUU